RNAcentral lists this small RNA (734 nucleotides) under Histoplasma capsulatum. RNAcentral describes it as "hypothetical RNA". The record is from RNAcentral. RNAcentral also lists the same sequence under 1 other name. Lineage: Eukaryota; Fungi; Ascomycota; Eurotiomycetes; Onygenales; Ajellomycetaceae.
CUGCCGUGGCAUCCGCUGUCCCCCCCACUGGCGAUGUAGGAGGAGAAGACUUGAAGGUGGUCAACCUCACUGAGGACGACCUAGAACCGAUCCCUGACGGAGGCAUAACUCGACAGGCGUGGAAUUUUUGACUGCACACCUGUAGUUUGUAAGAAUAAGAACCGAACAGACUGCUAUAAAGUUAGCACUAGGGCGGGUACUUGUAUUAAUUUGGUGUCCUCUAACGGGAAACCAUUCGUAUCUGCCUCAUCGGCUGGCAGCUGUCAAUGUGUGGCCUACUCUAAAAGGGGAUGUCCCACCUGGAGCGGAGAUAGUUACGGUUUUACCGUUCCCACGACUUUCAGUUUCAAUGCGAAAAGCAUCCAGUGCUACAUCUAUUAAGUUUUUGGGAAAGGGUGGAUAAAUAUAUGUAAUGGUUUUUGUGUUUCCUUUGGUUUGCUACUUGCUUUCUUUCACUUGUAUUCUCAUUUCGGCCUCUUAUAUGUUUUCUGGGGUGUUUGGAUUUUUUUUUUUUUUUUUUGAAGGAUGCGCCUGAUUUCAAGCGACAGAGGUGUGCAUAAGAAAUGUACGGAGUGUAAUUAUACCCACAUGAGGAUAUGAAUGAUAUGCUGGAUAAAUGAUGUGUCGGGAGAUAUAUUCUUUCUCCCUUCAUCCACGACACUGCCUUUUUCCGCUCAACUAUUUUUGAACUUUCAAAAGAAGCGUGUUCGGCAUAUAUCUAUAAAUACAGGCGC